RNAcentral lists this unclassified non-coding RNA (365 nucleotides) under soil metagenome. RNAcentral describes it as "partial contains 5.8S ribosomal RNA, internal transcribed spacer 2, and large subunit ribosomal RNA". The stretch from base 1 to 122 matches the Rfam family "5.8S ribosomal RNA", at positions 35 to 154 of the family's 154-position model. The record is from RNAcentral.
GAUGAAGAACGUAGUGAAAUGCGAUACUUGGUGUGAAUUGCAGAAUCCCGUGAACCAUCGAGUCUUUGAACGCAAGUUGCGCCCGAAGCCAUUAGGCCGAGGGCACGCCUGCCUGGGUGUCACACACCGUUACCCUCGCGCCAACGUCCAUCGUUGGCCGCGGCGCGGGGCGUGCGCUGACCUCCCGCGAGCGGGGUCUCGUGGUUGGUUGAAAAUCGAGUUCGCGGUCGAGGGUGCCGUGAUGAAAUGGUGGAUGGGCGACGCCCGAGGCCAAUCACGCGCGACUCUGUCCGGCUCGGCUUUCAACGCGACCCCAGGUCAGGCGGGGUUACCCGCUGAAUUUAAGCAUAUCAAUAAGCGGAGGA